This 256-nucleotide ribosomal RNA is filed under the name uncultured bacterium. RNAcentral describes it as "partial 16S ribosomal RNA". It matches the Rfam family "Bacterial small subunit ribosomal RNA", at positions 524 to 777 of the family's 1533-position model. The record is from RNAcentral.
UACGUAGGGUGCAAGCGUUGUCCGGAAUUAUUGGGCGUAAAGAGCUCGUAGGCGGUUCGUCGCGUCGGCUGUGAAAUCCCGAGGCUCAACCUCGGGUCUGCAGUCGAUACGGGCGGACUGGAGUUCGGCAGGGGAGACUGGAAUUCCUGGUGUAGCGGUGGAAAUGCGCAGAUAUCAGGAGGAACACCGGUGGCGAAGGCGGGUCUCUGGGCCGAUACUGACGCUGAGGAGCGGAAAGCGUGGGGAGCGAAGCAGG